Molecule: ribosomal RNA, 694 nt
Filed under: Meryx rugosa
Lineage: Eukaryota; Metazoa; Arthropoda; Insecta; Coleoptera; Ulodidae
Description: eukaryotic LSU rRNA
Rfam family: Eukaryotic large subunit ribosomal RNA
Source: RNAcentral
CCGUUAUCUCGGAAUUGUGCGAUGUGUCAAAGUCCUUCUUGAACGGGGCCACAGCCCAUAGAGGGUGCCAGGCCCGUAGAGACCAUUGCCAAUUGCGAGGGGACUUCUCCUCAGAGUCGGGUUGCUUGAGAGUGCAGCCCUAAGUGGGUGGUAAACUCCAUCUAAGGCUAAAUAUGACCACGAGACCGAUAGCGAACAAGUACCGUGAGGGAAAGUUGAAAAGGACUUUGAAGAGAGAGUUCAAUAGUACGUGAAACCGUUUAGGGGUAAACCUGAGAAACCCGAAAGGUCGAAAGGGGAGAUUCAGCGUGUCUCUUUCGAGGUGCUGUGACAGUUGUGCGACAAACUUCUCUUUAUGGGUUGUUUGCGUCUUCAGUUCAGUUAAACCGCGAUUGAACGCGUGCACUUCUCCCCCAGUAGGACGUUGCAAUCCGUUGGGCGCCGGUCUAAGGCCCGUGGUGGAGCCCGUCUGGACGGCUUGCCGUUUUGGACGAACCCAUGGUGUUUUACCCGGCCGGCACGCUCGACGGUAUGUAGAAAGGCGCAAGGCCGCUAUUUUGCAUCCGACCUGCGGCAAGCGCGUUUGUUGUGUUGGUGAUCGGACCUAGUCCGGUCCUAGCCACGAAUGGCUGUUCGCCGUAGUGUUCUCGGACAGAUCUUGUACGCCGAUUAGCAACGCUAUAGCUUUGGGUAC